UACGUAGGCAGCGAGCGUUGUUCGGAGUUACUGGGCGUAAAGGGUGUGUAGGCGGUUGUUUAAGUUUGGUGUGAAAUCUCCCGGCUCAACUGGGAGGGUGCGCCGAAUACUGAAUGACUAGAGUGUGGGAGGGGUGAGUGGAAUUCCUGGUGUAGCGGUGAAAUGCGUAGAUAUCAGGAGGAACACCGGUGGUGUAGACGGCUCACUGGACCAUAACUGACGCUGAGACACGAAAGCGUGGGUAGCAAACAGG
RNAcentral lists this ribosomal RNA (253 nucleotides) under uncultured bacterium. RNAcentral's name for it is "partial 16S ribosomal RNA". It matches the Rfam family "Bacterial small subunit ribosomal RNA", at positions 524 to 776 of the family's 1533-position model. The record is from RNAcentral.